AAAGUGCAACUGUGUAAACCUGAUUAUACUGCAGGUUUACAUUGCAUGCACUUA
RNAcentral lists this microRNA precursor (54 nucleotides) under Ciona intestinalis (vase tunicate). Its description in RNAcentral is "microRNA cin-mir-4029 precursor". Lineage: Eukaryota; Metazoa; Chordata; Ascidiacea; Phlebobranchia; Cionidae. The record is from miRBase by way of RNAcentral.